This 253-nucleotide ribosomal RNA is filed under the name uncultured bacterium. RNAcentral's name for it is "partial 16S ribosomal RNA". It matches the Rfam family "Bacterial small subunit ribosomal RNA", at positions 524 to 776 of the family's 1533-position model. The record is from RNAcentral.
UACGUAGGGUGCAAGCGUUGUCCGGAGUUAUUGGGCGUAAAGAGCUCGUAGGCGGUCUGUCGCGUCUGCUGUGAAAACUCGGGGCUUAACCCCGGGCCUGCAGUGGGUACGGGCAGACUAGAGUGCGGUAGGGGAGACUGGAAUUCCUGGUGUAGCGGUGAAAUGCGCAGAUAUCAGGAGGAACACCGGUGGCGAAGGCGGGUCUCUGGGCCGUAACUGACGCUGAGGAGCGAAAGCAUGGGGAGCGAACAGG